GAGACGCAAAGUGAAAGGAAAACAUUGGAGUGACAGCACAAGAUGAGUGAGAAUAAGCCCAAAACGCAUUACCCUUCUCCUUCUCCUCCUCCUCCUUCUUCUUCAGGUUCUUCAGGUGGGAUUCCCACUCCCAGCGAUGAUGGCCCAAAAAAGUUUCCGGGGCCGAAGAGCUAUAUCAACCCACCAGAGAAAGAGAUUCCAGAUGCUGCCACUCUGAGGGAUCAAUGGAGGUAUGCCAUCAGGCAGUACAGUAAAUGGUACUCUCACGCUUGGGGCUCUGCCAUUCUUGCUGGCACUGCCUUCUUUGCCCUUGGCUGGAUCAUCAAGGGAGAAAAUCCCAUACCCUCUUUCAACACCAACACUCCCUCUUCCUCUCAAAACGACAAAGACAACAACACUCCCCCAUGAUGUCCCUUACCUGCUUUUCAGGCACCAACCACUGGAAUCAAGCCACACAUGAACGGCUUUUAGUUAACAAUGCCAUGCACCUUGCUUCCAAUGGUCUAAUAAGGAAGUUUGAUGUUUAUAAUCAAGUCUCUUAUUUUGCUUCUCUUGAAAUAGUUUUUGUCCCUGUUUUGAUAUGGAUAUAAGGCAAAAGAUUAUGUAUAUUGAAAUGCUUUAGCUAUGUAAUUAAUGUGAGGAAAAAGAUUGUGCAUAUUCAAUGCUU
Vigna unguiculata (cowpea) is the source of this 667-nucleotide long non-coding RNA. The record is from RefSeq and is a predicted model, not a curated record. NCBI's taxonomy places the organism in Eukaryota, Viridiplantae, Streptophyta, Magnoliopsida, Fabales, Fabaceae.